AAGCGUUGUCCGGAUUUAUUGGGCGUAAAGAGCGUGUAGGCGGCCAGACAGGUCCGUUGAGAAAACUGGAGGCUCAACCUCCAGACGUCGAUGGAAACCGUCUGGCUAGAGUCCGGAAGAGGAGAGUGGAAUUCCUGGUGUAGCGGUGAAAUGCGCAGAUAUCAGGAAGAACACCCGUGGCGAAAGCGGCUCUCUGGGACGGUACUGACGCUGAGACGCGAAAGCGUGGGGAGCAAACAGG
Molecule: ribosomal RNA, 241 nt
Filed under: uncultured bacterium
Lineage: Bacteria
Description: partial 16S ribosomal RNA
Rfam family: Bacterial small subunit ribosomal RNA
Source: RNAcentral